This 987-nucleotide long non-coding RNA is filed under the name Bos taurus (domestic cattle). RNAcentral's name for it is "long non-coding RNA NONBTAT001323". Lineage: Eukaryota; Metazoa; Chordata; Mammalia; Artiodactyla; Bovidae. The record is from RNAcentral.
AAACAAGGGACCUAGUAAAACUGAGCAGUGUUACUGUAUUUUUAAAAAAUAUUUUUAUAGAUUCAUUUUCAGGUUAUUAAACAUUAAAGAAACAAUUAUCCCUCCUUUUUUUAAGUAGUUAAAACAUUGAUGAUUUGUAUUAUCAAUUUUUAGAAAUACUUUCCUAGUAAGCUUGUGGCAUUAGAAAAUACUAGAAGAAUUUUUUUUUAGUGAAAUUAGUUGGAACACUUAUUAAUGAACAUAACAAUUAUUUUUCCAGAAUUAGAUACAGAUCUUGACUACAUGUUUACUAAUAAAUGAAGCCAGAUCUAAUUUUUGUUGUUAUUUUUAAGGCCAUGUUAUAUGGCCUUUGUUAAAGAACACUAAAGCUAGAAAUCUAAAAACAACUUUUUAAAGGUUCUUUCCUAUUAUUGUAAGUGUUAAAACCCCUGCAGAAUUCAUGAUAAGGUGCUAUUUAUACUAUAUUUCUUAUUAUAAAAUGACUGCCAAAUAUCAUGUCUUUUUAGUCCUAAGUCAAUCAGUAGAUUUCAACAUUUCAUCCAGAUUAAAAAUGGAAAAAUAAUUGCAGAAAUCUUUCUUUUAAGGUAUUUUCUUUCCCUGAUAAAACACAUUUCCUUGAAGUAAAUACAUUGUCAAGACCUAUUUGCAAUUCUGUUAAAUCUAAGUAAUUGUUAGUGUUUCACCAUAGAAUUUAGGAUGUGAUAUGCCUUUCUUUCGCUGAUUAUACAAUAUAAGUAAAAACAGACUGAAACAGUUAGUAUGCUGGGGGUGCUACUGACUCCAGCUUGGCAGAAAAUCUUUCUGGAGAAGAAGGUGAUCUGGAGUGAGAGAGAAUAUGAUAUAUGUGUGUUUAUUUUUAAUUCAAAUUGCUAUGCAUACAGAGAGUAUGCAGAAAAAUCAAUCAGAUCAAACUGUUUUACCUGGAGUUUGGUACUGGUUUUUACUUCUCUGAUUCUGUAUAAGAAAAAUAAAUACAAUUGAAUUUCC